RNAcentral lists this non-coding RNA (250 nucleotides) under Bacillus coahuilensis. RNAcentral's name for it is "T-box sequence". It matches the Rfam family "T-box leader". Rfam says of the family: Uncharged tRNA acts as the effector for transcription antitermination of genes in the T-box leader family. T-boxes are found upstream of many aminoacyl-tRNA synthetase genes and some amino acid biosynthetic genes usually in Gram-positive bacteria. The record is from RNAcentral. Lineage: Bacteria; Bacillati; Bacillota; Bacilli; Caryophanales; Bacillaceae.
UCCAAAUCUAUGAUCAAGAGUAGUAAGCUUAUUUGAUGCUUUACAGAGAGUUAGGUAGUGGUGAGAGCCUAAUAGGAUAGAAUAAGUUGAAUGGACUUGAGAGAGGCUUUUUGAACGUUAGGAGUAGGAAAGCCCGGGUUUCCACCGUUAUCAGGAUAGAAUAUCGGAAAUGCUCCUGUAUUCGAAAAGAGAGAGUGACUCGUCACUCUAAUCAGAGGUGGUACCGCGGAUUAUACAAUUCGUCCUCCAG